Molecule: ribosomal RNA, 460 nt
Filed under: uncultured bacterium
Lineage: Bacteria
Description: partial 16S ribosomal RNA
Rfam family: Bacterial small subunit ribosomal RNA
Source: RNAcentral
CCUACGGGAGGCUGCAGUGAGGAAUAUUGGGCAAUGGACGAGAGUCUGAAGCAGCCAAGUAGCGUGAAGGAUGAAUGCCCUCGGGGUUGUAAACUUCUUUUAUAUGGGAGUAAAAAGUUGCACGUAAGGAAGCAUGUAUUGACUAUAUGAAAAAGGAUAGGCUAACUCCGUGCCAGCAGCCGCGGUAAUACGGAGGAUCCGAGCGUUAUCCGGAUUUGUUGUGUUUAAAGGGAGCGUAGGUGGUUUGUUAAGUCAGUUGUGAAAGUUUGCGGCUCAACCGUAGAAUGUCAGUUGAAACUGGCAGUCUUGAGUGCAGUAGAGGUGAGCGGAAUUCGUGGUGUAGCGGUGAAAUGCUUAGAUAUCACGAAGAACUCCGAUUGCGAAGGCAGCUCACUGGACUGCAACUGACACUGAGGUGCGAAAGUGUGGGUAUCAAACAGGAUUAGAUACCCGUGUAGUC